UACCACCAUCUCUAGCAAGCCCACGCCCAC
Molecule: small RNA, 30 nt
Filed under: Bombyx mori (domestic silkworm)
Lineage: Eukaryota; Metazoa; Arthropoda; Insecta; Lepidoptera; Bombycidae
Description: ovarian small RNA-20538
Source: RNAcentral